UUUAUAUGAAAAAUUAAUAAAAAAAAAUUACAAAAUGUGGCGCAUAUAAACAAUUCCCAAUUUCCUUUUGUUAUCCUUACCACUUUACCAGCUGGCAGAGAGCCUUCCUUUUCCGAUUCUCUAUUUCCUUUCCUCAUUCCCAAUCUCCGAUCCAUCCUCAAAACAACUGACGAGAGAUCGAUGAUGAUGAAGAUGCCUUGGAGGAGAAAGAGCAGGAGCUUCUAUCUUCAGCUACAAGGGGCAAUUGGUACCAUUCAAUCUCCAUUCCUAUUCUUAUUUACCAAUUAUUGCCAUUCUUCUACUUCCACACUUGAAGAUGCACGCUUCUUGACAAAUAACUUCAAAUCUGCUUCUUUUACCCGCCUUGAUGAUGCCAUUGCUUCCUUCAAU
Molecule: long non-coding RNA, 390 nt
Filed under: Manihot esculenta (cassava)
Lineage: Eukaryota; Viridiplantae; Streptophyta; Magnoliopsida; Malpighiales; Euphorbiaceae
Description: long non-coding RNA (MESC_LNC012304)
Source: RNAcentral